Molecule: ribosomal RNA, 772 nt
Filed under: uncultured Neocallimastigales
Lineage: Eukaryota; Fungi; Neocallimastigomycota; Neocallimastigomycetes; Neocallimastigales
Description: partial large subunit ribosomal RNA
Rfam family: Eukaryotic large subunit ribosomal RNA
Source: RNAcentral
GUACACGCUGUGACUAGCAUAUCAAUAAGCGGAGGAAAAGAAACUAACAAGGAUUCCCCUAGUAACGGCGAGUGAAGCGGGAAGAGCUCAAAUUUGAAAUCUUAAAGGGUUUCCCUUUACGAAUUGUAGUUUAAAGAAGUGUUUUCUGUUGAGGUUUUGGUAAAAGUUCUUUGGAAUAGGACAUCAUAGAGGGUGAAAAUCCCGUAUUUGACCUUUACUUUCAACUUUGUGAUACACUUUCAAAGAGUCGGAUUGUUUGGGAAUGCAGUCCAAAAUGGGUGGUAAAUUUCAUCUAAAGCUAAAUAUUGGCGAGAGACCGAUAGCGAACAAGUACCGUGAGGGAAAGAUGAAAAGAACUUUGAAAGAGAGUUAAACAGUACGUGAAAUUGUCAAAAGGGAAGCGUUUGACACCAGUGUUGUUUUUCUGAAAAUCAAUUAAAGAACUGUUUAUGCUAAGUUGUUUAGACUUUAUCAGCUAACUGUUUAGUUUUGAGCUUUUCUUUAAUGCACUUUUCAGUUAACAAGUCAACAUCAAUUUCUUUUGCUGUAAAAAAGCUUGAGGAAGGUGGCUUGAGAUUCGUCUUAAGUGUUUAUAGCCACUUGCCUAUGCAGUCGGAGAGAUUGAGGUCUGCAGCGUAGAUCCUUCGGGGCUAAAUGCAUUUGUGCUAAGUUAUAGCAUUUAUAGACAAUUUGUUGACUAUGAUUUGUCUUGUAGCUUACUCGCUUAUGUUAUUUUACCUACGCUUAGGAUGUUGACAGCAGUAUAGACUGU